AAAGCGUCUGCAGGUGGUUUCUUAAGUCUACUGUUAAAUCUUGAGGCUCAACCUCAAAUCUGCAGUAGAAACUAGGAGACUUGAGUAUAGUAGGGGUAGAGGGAAUUUCCAGUGGAGCGGUGAAAUGCGUAGAUAUUGGAAAGAACACCGAUGGCGAAGGCACUCUACUGGGCUAUUACUGACACUCAGAGACGAAAGCUAGGGGAGCAAAUGGGAUUAGAUACCCCAGUAGUCCUAGCCGUAAACGAUGGAUACUCGAUGUUGGACGUAUCGACCCGUUCAGUAUCUUAGCUAACGCGUUAAGUAUCCCGCCUGGGGAGUACGCUCGCAAGAGUGAAACUCAAAGGAAUUGACGGGGGCCCGCACAAGCGGUGGAGGAUGUGGUUUAAUUCGAUGCAACGCGAAGAACCUUACCAGGGUUUGCUAGAAGUGUUGGUUUUCUGAAAAGAAUUCCUUAUUCCGCUUCUACAGGUGGUGCAUGGCUGUCGUCGGCUCGUGUCGUGAGAUGUUGGGUUAAGUCCCGCAACGAGCGCAACCCUUAUUUUUAGUUCUAUUGUCUAGAAAGACUGCCGGUGACAAACCGGAGGAAGGUGAGGACGACGUCAAGUCAUCAUGCCCCUUACACCCUGGGCUACACACGUCCUACAAUGGGUAAGACAAUAAGUUGCAAAUUCGCGAGAAUAAGCUAAUCUUUGAAACUUACUCCAAGUACAGAUUGCAGGCUGCAACUCGCCUGCAUGAAGGUGGAAUCGCUA
RNAcentral lists this ribosomal RNA (755 nucleotides) under uncultured bacterium. RNAcentral describes it as "bacterial SSU rRNA". It matches the Rfam family "Bacterial small subunit ribosomal RNA", at positions 562 to 1337 of the family's 1533-position model. The record is from RNAcentral.